RNAcentral lists this long non-coding RNA (443 nucleotides) under Homo sapiens (human). RNAcentral's name for it is "HSALNT0266079". The record is from RNAcentral. Lineage: Eukaryota; Metazoa; Chordata; Mammalia; Primates; Hominidae.
GUAAGGGGUGAGUGUCAGCCAAGUCAUCAGCUAUCAGAACACGAAGCCAUCAGGUAAUAUAUCAAGUUGAUAUAUUAAGAAAGAGGGAUCUAUCUAUUAUAUAACAGAGAUAAGCACUCAGAUAUAUGGAUUAUAAAUAGUUUAGAAAAUUUAAAUAUUUGAUUAUUCAGAAAGUAGACUUGGGAGUAUUGGAGAAACAGGUUGGGGAGUAGACUGCAUGGAAAGCUCUUUCUUAGUGUGGGAUUUUCAAUUAUGCACAUAGGUUUCUUACAUAACAUGGAAAAUUCAAUUAAGAAACAACAUUGUGUUUUGGGGUCCCAAAAGUUCAGUGAUUGAUUAGAAGGACUCACAAAACUGAGUCAAGCUGUUAUACUCACAGUUAUAGUUUAUUACAACAAAAGGAUACAGAUUAAAAUCAGCAGCAGAAAAGGGUGCAUAGGGCA